UUCUCUUAAAAAGCUUGUUCACAAAAUAUAGUGUUAACUCUUGAUAUCCGGAGCGAGAUAUCAAUAUCUUGAGGGAGAAAGCAUUACUCUGUUUUUAUACAUACAUUUUUGCAUAAAAAAUUAAAAUAGACUGGUAUGCCUAAUGCAACACACAGGUACGAGGGAAUCAGACUUAGGUGAAUUGCUCAAAACUGGAUAGAUACAGGAAUUCACCAAACACCUGUCUUAAGAAGUUUUUGUAAUAGGAGAAAAUAAAAUAUAACAACCUUAGUUGAUAUAUAUAGUCCAGG
This is a non-coding RNA of Pelobates cultripes (western spadefoot toad), 290 nucleotides long. The record is from the annotation of a GenBank genome assembly. NCBI's taxonomy places the organism in Eukaryota, Metazoa, Chordata, Amphibia, Anura, Pelobatidae.